This 204-nucleotide long non-coding RNA is filed under the name Gossypium raimondii (Peruvian cotton). Its description in RNAcentral is "long non-coding RNA (GRAI_LNC010949)". The record is from RNAcentral. Lineage: Eukaryota; Viridiplantae; Streptophyta; Magnoliopsida; Malvales; Malvaceae.
AGAAAACCUUGCUAUUACAGCAAGUAUACGUGCUGCAGCAUGUCAUCAAGCUGCAUGCACUUCAAACAAAACAUGUAACAGCAGCAUGGUUGGCCAAUUUCAACAAUGGCAAGAGGGAAAAUAAAAGAAGAAAAAUUGGCUUUUAAAAAGCCCAAGCUUAAGGGGGCUCAAGGGUGAGAGAAAAAAAAAAGGAAAAAGAAAGAG